This 483-nucleotide ribosomal RNA is filed under the name uncultured bacterium. Its description in RNAcentral is "partial 16S ribosomal RNA". It matches the Rfam family "Bacterial small subunit ribosomal RNA", at positions 30 to 507 of the family's 1533-position model. The record is from RNAcentral.
AUUGAACGCUGGCGGCAGGCCUAACACAUGCAAGUCGAGCGGAUGAAGGGAGCUUGCUCCUGGAUUCAGCGGCGGACGGGUGAGUAAUGCCUAGGAAUCUGCCUGGUAGUGGGGGAUAACGUCCGGAAACGGGCGCUAAUACCGCAUACGUCCUGAGGGAGAAAGUGGGGAUCUUCGGACCUCACGCUAUCAGAUGAGCCUAGGUCGGAUUAGCUAGUUGGUGGGGUAAAGGCCUACCAAGGCGACGAUCCGUAACUGGUCUGAGAGGAUGAUCAGUCACACUGGAACUGAGACACGGUCCAGACUCCUACGGGAGGCAGCAGUGGGGAAUAUUGGACAAUGGGCGAAAGCCUGAUCCAGCCAUGCCGCGUGUGUGAAGAAGGUCUUCGGAUUGUAAAGCACUUUAAGUUGGGAGGAAGGGCAGUAAGUUAAUACCUUGCUGUUUUGACGUUACCAACGGAAUAAGCACCGGCUAACUUCGUG